RNAcentral lists this ribosomal RNA (109 nucleotides) under Prolemur simus (greater bamboo lemur). Lineage: Eukaryota; Metazoa; Chordata; Mammalia; Primates; Lemuridae. The record is from RNAcentral.
GUCCAUGGCCAUAUGACCCUGAACACACCUGAUCUUAUCUGAUCUGGGAAGCUAAGCAGGGUUGGGCAUGGUUAGUACUUGGAUGGGAGAACUUCUUGAGCUAUUUGCA